CCGCUGUACACGCAUGGCUUUUCCCCCCAUCUAUUCUUAUGCUUAUCCUUAUCCUUCCUGGUUUUGGACGAGACGUUCAUAUUUAACUGUAAUGCAAAAUAAAAACGAAUGGAAAAUAAAAGUCCUUGGGAAAAAACAGACACCUGUUUCCCAUUAAACCUUGAUGAUUCUUGAUCAUUGUGGGACGUGUAUGAAUGAACGGAAAAGACGCGAUUGGAUGUCCAUACUUCGUUUUAUCUAUAAAAAUCUUGACUUUGAAUGUCCUCCUGUGUGAAGAUCAGUGGAUCAGGUGGAUGAUGGCACAACCCGACCAAAGAAGCAGGAGAUUUUAAGCAGGAACGCCUGGUUACCAACAAGAAGACCCUAACAACGCCUGGAGCAGACUGUCAUUAACAAAAGUAAACAAUGACAGUCUGACAAAUACACUGCGAUUAAAUGGAAC
This is a long non-coding RNA of Cyprinus carpio carpio, 442 nucleotides long. NCBI's taxonomy places the organism in Eukaryota, Metazoa, Chordata, Actinopteri, Cypriniformes, Cyprinidae. The record is from Ensembl.